This is a long non-coding RNA of Brassica napus (rape), 1893 nucleotides long. RefSeq lists it as uncharacterized. The record is from RefSeq and is a predicted model, not a curated record. Lineage: Eukaryota; Viridiplantae; Streptophyta; Magnoliopsida; Brassicales; Brassicaceae. The transcript has 2 exons.
AAACCCUAAACUUCAAAAUUUAGAAAAAGUUCAAAUAUACUAUUCCAAACUACAAUAUAGGAUAUACUUCUCAGUUUUUUUUCCAGAUAUACUAUUUAAACUUUAAAUUUAACCCUCGAACCCUAUAUCAUAAGUGCAUACAUUUUAAAUCUUAUAUCAUACACAUUAGCUCUUAAAAUACCAAUCAAGUAAAUUAAACAAUAAAUCAUAAAAUUAAAACACAGCCAUUAGUUAGGAAAUCCAAUAAUUUCUCUAAACUAAUAAUUUAACUGAAGUUAAAUUAAUGAAUUAUAUAAUGAAAACUAAAUUCAAAAGAUAAGAUGUAAAAGAAGAAUGUUAAAAAAAAAAGAUGCAAAAGAAGAAGAAGCGUGUCAAAACCAUUUUGUGUUCAAUGGACUUCCACUAAAAAAAAAAGGACAAAAACUCCUUUUAAUUCUCUCAAGGAACAGGAUCGUCUUCAACCUUCUUUCCUCUGCGUUUCUAGUGUUAACCGGCGCGUGGCGGCUCUCUUAACGCCGGCGUCGGUCCUAAUCAGUUUCAUUUCGUCUCUUUUCCAUGUUUGGUUCUUUGGGUUGUGGCUGUGUCUUAUUCUGUGAGGAGAGUUGCUUUUCCCAAAUCGAUUUCAAAGUCAGAUCUAGAAUGAGUUUUGAAGAUAAAAAUUCCGGAUCUGCAGAUUAACGGUGUGGCUUUGUCAAUAAAGCUUUUGUCUUUGUUUUUCCAAACUAGUUCCUGGUAGAUUGGUCGAUUUUGCAGUUCUCCUUUGCUGUUGGUAUGGUUUCUUUUGGUUUCUGUUGGUUCCCAUGGUUGGGAUUUGCUGUCUGUAUGUUGGGCUUUAGUUUCCGGAGAUAUCCAUGUUUCUGCCGGCUUAGGUAACUGGGGUUGUUCAGUUUGUAUCAGAUCGAUCUUUAUCUCUAAUAAUAUCCGUUUGAGUUUUUUUGGGUUUGUGAUGUCGGUGUUGUUCUGAUGGAGGAGCUCUCGUCUGAAGACGAUUGAUGCUCUCCGGUGGUAUUUGGAGAUGUUUGUGUGAAGCCUUCUUCUUGGUGGUGGUGAUCAAUGGUAGCGGAGAUGAUCUCGUAUUUGCGAUCGAUCUCUCCGAUGAUAGAAUCUCUGUGUUGAAGGCGGCUGCUGUGAAGUUGUUAUGGAGCUGGUUGCAGGGGUCUCGUUGUGGUUCGAGCCGGUGGCUCACGGGAACGACGGUGACCCUUUCGUUAGUGUAUUCUAGGGUUUUCGAUGUGGGCUUGAGGCCUUUGUUUGAUGUUUCUGUUGCCUUUUGGAUGGGCUUUGUAAUCUUGGGCUUGGCCCUUCAAUAAAUAAUAUAACUCUUGAUGGAAAAAAAAAAAAGAAGAAGCGUGUUGAACAAAAAUAAAACAAAAAGAAAGAAGAAGCGCAAGUCAUUAAAAAUAAACUAAAUUCUGAUUGGUUGAAAAAAAAAACCAUGGAUCACUCUCAAAUCAAUAUCAACCAUUGAUUUUAGAUGAUCUAAGGACCACAACUGAUUUACUUUUCUUCUGUCUCUUUCGUUUCUUUUCUCUCCUUUAAGAAACACACUUCUCUCUCAUCUUCUCCUCAAUUACAAGAACAACAACAACAAAAUCUAAACAUCUUUCCCUCUUUCUCAUUUAUCUCCUUCAACUUUGUCUCGGUCUUAAUCGGCAGAUUUUUCAAGCCAGCACACUCCAUUGCUUAUCAAUCUCUGAAAAUUUAAACUUGGAAGGAGGAAGAUGUUGACGAAUUCCAUGGCUUGGGGAAGACGACAAUAAGGACGGCGAAGCUGAUGGUUGGAGGAAGACGACGAUAACGAAGCUCGCGGCUGGAGAAAGAAGACGAGGACAAAAAUCAUGGCUGUAGGGAUUCAUAAGAAAAUGAGCUCCGAUGAAGAGCAGUGACGAAAAU